RNAcentral lists this long non-coding RNA (915 nucleotides) under Triticum aestivum (bread wheat). RNAcentral describes it as "long non-coding RNA (TAES_LNC019701)". The record is from RNAcentral. Lineage: Eukaryota; Viridiplantae; Streptophyta; Magnoliopsida; Poales; Poaceae.
GCGAACAAGUGUAUUUGUACUUUUCGCAAUACUAGUACUACUUACACUCUCUAAACAUCAAGGGUACAUGCAAUAUAUAUUGCGACCCGUUACUUUUGAAAUGUAAAUAAAACACUAAAAUAUGUAUAUGCACUUUUUUUAUGAAGAAAAGACACCCAAAGGACAUCUAAAUACGUAUAUGCACUUGCUAAAACUAGCAACAAACCAAAAAUUAAAAUAAAAACAAUAAUAAUGAAAAUAAUAAUAAAACAAGAAAUCAGCAAAAAGCAAAAAAAAAAACACACCAUCCAAGCCAAAGUCUAUUACCUAAAUAAUAGAUAAAUAAUUAGGUAUCAAAACCACCUAGUAGAAAGUCCAUUGACCAAAAUACAAGAGUAAAAAAAGAAACUAAAAAUAAGAAGCAUGGAAAGAAAAUGACCAAUGAGUCGAAAAAACAGACCGGCUAUAUGGCAGCAGCUGAGUUUUUUGGCGUAUGUGGAUUCCACACGUCCAUUUCGUGCAUCAGAAAGGUGUAACAGCUCCCAGGUCCGUAGGCACCCUCUAUGAACAGUAAAUACCAAAAAUAUAAAAAAAUUCAAAAAAUAUCGGAAACUUUGCAAUGACCAAACUUUGUAGGUUCUUGCAAGUUUUCAUGCCAAAAUAUCAUGUAGAGAAAAGUGUACAAAUGAGUUUCAGAUUUUAGUGCUAAAAGUACUUGAAACUUCAAGCACCAAAAUCUUUUUCAUGUGUAGAGCUCCUCGAAUGGUUUUUUGGCAUGAAAACUUGCAUGCACCUACAAAGUUUGAUCAUCUUUGAUGUUGCAAAGUUUCAGUUUUUUUUUGAUUUUACUGUUCAUAGAGGGUGCUUAGGCACCCGGGAACCGAAAAACCACUCUCUGUUUUCAUGCAUUUUUAGUCCUCCCUUUGCUUCCUCCUU